Molecule: transfer RNA, 84 nt
Filed under: Paracoccus mutanolyticus
Lineage: Bacteria; Pseudomonadati; Pseudomonadota; Alphaproteobacteria; Rhodobacterales; Paracoccaceae
Description: tRNA-Pro
Rfam family: tRNA
About the family: Transfer RNA (tRNA) molecules are approximately 80 nucleotides in length. Their secondary structure includes four short double-helical elements and three loops (D, anti-codon, and T loops).
Source: RNAcentral
CGGGGCGUAGCGCAGCCUGGUCAGCCUGGUAGCGACGGUUUUGGGUACCGUAGGCCGGAGGUUCGAAUCCUCUCGCCCCGACCA